Non-coding RNA from Pelobates cultripes (western spadefoot toad), 224 nucleotides. Lineage: Eukaryota; Metazoa; Chordata; Amphibia; Anura; Pelobatidae. The record is from the annotation of a GenBank genome assembly.
GCUAAAUGUAUGCGCAUUGAAAAAAAACUCCAAUCUGAUCAGAGCCUAAAGGACCAAAAGAAGAACGUGAGAAAGUGUGCUGAAUUUCAACCGGAAGGCUGGCCUGCGACCUAAGUCUCAAAGAGAUCAGUUCGGAGGGCAGGAGACAUUCAACAAAAAUCAGCAAGUUCUAUGAGAAUGCCAUCCCUUAAAUGAAAGAUGAAGGAAAUUUGAGCAAUACAGAC